Molecule: non-coding RNA, 46 nt
Filed under: Schistosoma margrebowiei
Lineage: Eukaryota; Metazoa; Platyhelminthes; Trematoda; Strigeidida; Schistosomatidae
Source: RNAcentral
GCACUGCUGAAGAGUCCCAUAAUAAGACGAAACGGUAGUCCAGUGC